This 24-nucleotide non-coding RNA is filed under the name Arabidopsis thaliana (thale cress). Lineage: Eukaryota; Viridiplantae; Streptophyta; Magnoliopsida; Brassicales; Brassicaceae. The record is from RNAcentral.
ACCGUCCGCAAAUCCCACAGAACA